UACUCGAGUGGCGAACGGGUGAGUAACACGUGGGUGAUCUGCCCUGCACUCUGGGAUAAGCCUGGGAAACUGGGUCUAAUACCGGAUAGGACCAUGCUUUAGUGUGUGUGGUGGAAAGUUUUUUCGGUGUAGGAUGAGCCCGCGGCCUAUCAGCUUGUUGGUGGGGUAAUGGCCUACCAAGGCGGCGACGGGUAGCCGGACUGAGAGGUUGGUCGGCAACAUUGGGACUGAGAUACGGCCCAG
RNAcentral lists this ribosomal RNA (243 nucleotides) under uncultured Actinomycetales bacterium. RNAcentral describes it as "partial 16S ribosomal RNA". It matches the Rfam family "Bacterial small subunit ribosomal RNA", at positions 88 to 334 of the family's 1533-position model. The record is from RNAcentral. Lineage: Bacteria; Bacillati; Actinomycetota; Actinomycetes; Actinomycetales.